AACGAACGCUGGCGGCAUGCCUAACACAUGCAAGUCGAACGAGACCUUCGGGUCUAGUGGCGCACGGGUGCGUAACGCGUGAGAACCUGCCCUUAGGUUCGGAAUAACUCCCCGAAAGGGGUGCUAAUACCGGAUAAUGUCUUCGGACCAAAGAUUUAUCGGCUUUGGAUGGGCCCGCGUUGGAUUAGCUAGUUGGUAGGGUAAAAGCCUACCAAGGCGACGAUCCAUAGCUGGUCUGAGAGGAUGAUCAGCCACACUGGGACUGAGACACGGCCCAGACUCCUACGGGAGGCAGCAGUGGGGAAUAUUAGACAAGGGGCGAAAGCCUGAUCCAGCAAUGCCGCGUGAGUGAUGAAGGCCUUAGGGUUGUAAAGCUCUUUUACCCGGGAUGAUAAUGACAGUACCGGGAGAAUAAGCUCCGGCUAACUCCGUG
This 433-nucleotide ribosomal RNA is filed under the name uncultured bacterium. RNAcentral's name for it is "partial 16S ribosomal RNA". It matches the Rfam family "Bacterial small subunit ribosomal RNA", at positions 29 to 507 of the family's 1533-position model. The record is from RNAcentral.